This 1475-nucleotide long non-coding RNA is filed under the name Balaenoptera musculus (blue whale). Its description in RNAcentral is "lncRNA (ENSBMSG00010019933.1)". The record is from RNAcentral. Lineage: Eukaryota; Metazoa; Chordata; Mammalia; Artiodactyla; Balaenopteridae.
CAUUUCAAUCUCUGGUCCAUUUAGAUUUUAUUCUUGCAGGUAGCGUGAAGAAUGGAUCUAAUUUUGUCUUUUUCCAGAUGGCCGUCCAGCUGCCCCAACACCACGUGAUAAAAAGUCCGUCUUCUAUACUGAUUUGAGAUGCCACUCCUCUUGUGCUGGAUUUUCCUGGGCGCGUGGCUCCGUCUCUAGUCUUGGCGUCCUCUCCCGUUGGUCAUCGUUGGUCCAGCCUGGGACCCAUGUCGCUCCGAUCCAGGCCUUCAGCACUGCCCACCCAGAUGGGCUCCGGCUCCGCAGGGUCACCAGCCGUGCUGCAGGGGACACCCGUGUGCCCCACCUGCCGUGGGCCGGAGCCUUGGGGUGAGAUCAGCAGGAGUGGAAGCACUGGGUCCAGGCCUCCGCGGAUCUCCUCCCGGCUGACACCAGGGGGCUCAGGUCUGCGUGGCUUCGCCCGCUGCCUGCCGGGGACUGAGCAGGCGCUGUGGUCCCGGCACCGCCCCUCCCGCCCCUUCCGACCGUGUGGCUCCCCGUGCUUGCCAGCUGUGUCGCCCGGUGCAGGCUCAUCGUGCGGGUUCCCUAUUCCUGAUGAAUGAUCUGUUUUCGGUGGGAGGUGUCCCUCUUUUUUCCUGAUGAUUCUGCUUCUCUUGAAGCCCGGCUGCCCGUCAAGCUCCUCGGAGUCGGUGUCUCCCCACCUGUCACCUCCAGGCUCUCUGCGCCUCUGCAGGUCUCGCAGGAAACACAGUGGACUCCUGUGCAUUUUCCUUCACCACAACCCUGUGUCAGAUUGGCUUCGCUGUGUGUGUAUCAGGCGAGCAGACUUUGCUUCGGUAACAGUUAUGGUGACCCAGAUGGAACAUUCGUGCUGAGUGGUUUCCCACCUGUGGCACAUCAGCCCCUGGCGGGUGGCGGCUCUGGGAUCCUGUCCAGCAGCUGCCCGGGCGCUUUUGUCUCAGGGACAGCCCCCAGUGCCUGCCGCUGACUGGGCAUCGCUGGACCACGGCACUUUCGAUUCCCUGAAGGAAGCAAGGCUGUGGUCCUGGUCUGAGACAUCUGGUAAGUGGUGGAACCUGUGUGUCAACACCAGGUGUUCUUCCCUACUGGGUGCGUUGGUUGGGAUUUUCCUUUUGGGGAGAGGGGAGGCAUAGGACUUAGUCAUCUGGUUUUGAGCAGAGCACCACUUUAACUGGGUUUUCCCUUCUGGGUCGAGGAGUCUCUCGGUCAUCCGGCACUGCCUACAGUCACCCCCCGUUAGACCACGGCUCCUCUGCACCCCGGUUGGAACAGCAGGUAGGAAACUUUCCAUUCUUGUACUAGGGAACUGUGACCCUGAGAAGCCCUGGACACGAGUCUGGUUCUGGUGACACUGGCUGUGUGAAAGAAUGUGAAAUCAGAGCUCUAUUCGAUCUUGGAGUCCCCUAGGGUGUAUUUUACAAAACUGGGACAUUUUCAGCUAGGCUCCCACGUAAAGGAAGAAAAUG